Molecule: ribosomal RNA, 1536 nt
Filed under: Mycobacterium tuberculosis NCGM2209
Lineage: Bacteria; Bacillati; Actinomycetota; Actinomycetes; Mycobacteriales; Mycobacteriaceae
Description: Small Subunit Ribosomal RNA; ssuRNA; SSU rRNA
Source: RNAcentral
AUUCCCCGCAGCGCCCGGCUAAUGGUGCUAGGGGGCGAGCCGAGGCGAUCAAACCACCGAGUGUUCCGGCCGCGUUGGCUACUAUCUGCGGCCAUGACCAAACGAGCGGCAACGGCCGCCAUGGUGAUGUUGCUGACGUUAACGGGUUGCGGAUCCACGCACCAGGCACUUGGCCCGCCGUCCGGGUUGCCCGAUGCCUCUCCCAAUGAGAGGUCAGCGAUACAGAUCCCCGCUGGCCGCAUCGACGAUGCCGUGGCAAAGGUCGACGGCCUGGUCGGCGAGCUGAUGCAGAAUACCGGCAUACCCGGAAUGGCAGUGGCGAUAGUCCAUGGCGGAAAGACGUUGUAUGCCAAAGGGUUCGGUGUCAGAGACGUGGGCAAAGGUGGUGGUCCGGACAACAAGGUGGACGCCGACACCGUCUUUCAGUUGGCGUCGGUGUCCAAAUCGGUCGGCGCCACGGUGGUGGCGCAUGCGGUAACCGACAACGUCGUGACCUGGGAUACGCCCGUCGUAUCGAAGCUGCCGUGGUUUGCCCUUCGCGAUCCCUACGUCACCGGCCAGGUAACCAUUGCUGACCUCUACUCGCAUCGCUCCGGCCUGCCCGACCAUGCGGGCGAUCUGUUGGAGGAUUUGGGUUAUGACCGUCGACAGGUACUGCAGCGGCUGAAAUACCUGCCGCUGGCACCGUUUCGAAUCAGCUAUGCCUACACCAACUUUGGUGUGACCGCGGCGGCCGAAGCGGUCGCGGCCGCGGCCGGCCAGUCCUGGGAGGACCUGUCCGACGAGGUGCUCUACCGCCCGUUGGGGAUGGGGUCUACGAGUUCCCGGUUCACCGACUUUCUGGCCAGGCCCAACCAUGCGGUCAACCACGUCAAGGUCGCAGACCGAUGGGAGGCGCGCUACCAGCGCGAUCCCGACGCCCAAUCACCUGCGGGCGGGGUGAGUUCGUCUCUUAACGACAUGACGCACUGGCUGGCCAUGGUGCUGGCCGACGGCGUGUACAACGGCCGUCGGAUCACGUCGCCGGAGGCCCUGCUCCCCGUCUACACGCCGCAGGUGAUCUCUCGACACCCGGUGUCACCGAGAGCGCGGGCCAGCUUCUAUGGCUACGGAUUCAACGUGGGGGUAACCUCUUCGGGACGCACCGAGUACAGCCAUUCCGGCGCCUUCGGGCUGGGUGCCGCGGCGAAUUUCGUGGUGCUGCCCUCCGAAGACCUGGCCAUCAUCGCGCUGACCAACGCCGGGCCCAUCGGCGUGCCGGAGACGCUGACCGCCGAAUUCAUGGACUUGGUGCAGUACGGCCAGGUACGCGAGGACUGGGCGGCCCUGUACAAGAAGGCAUUUGCCCCGCUGAACGAGCUCGCGGGCUCGCUGGUCGGCAAGCAAUCCCCGGCCAACCCAGCGCCGAGCAGACCGCUGAACGACUACGUCGGCGUGUACGCCAACGACUCCUGGGGGCCCGCCACCGUGACCUACCACGACGGCCAACUGCGCCUGUCGCUGGGGCCGAAGAACCAGACGUUCGAUUUGACGCAC